Molecule: transfer RNA, 72 nt
Filed under: Acropora cervicornis
Lineage: Eukaryota; Metazoa; Cnidaria; Anthozoa; Scleractinia; Acroporidae
Description: tRNA-Ala
Rfam family: tRNA
About the family: Transfer RNA (tRNA) molecules are approximately 80 nucleotides in length.
Source: RNAcentral
GGCCUGAUAGCUCAACUGGUGGAGCACUUCACCGGCAUUUAAGAGGUCCGGGUUCGAGUCUCGUUCAGGCCU